UUGGAGGGCAAGUCUGGUGCCAGCAGCCGCGGUAAUUCCAGCUCCAAUAGCGUAUAUUAAAGUUAUUGCAGUUAAAAAGCUCGUAGUUGAAUUUCGGGAUCAAAUUGUUGGUCGUGCUUCGGUACGCACUGGCAUUAUUGGUUCCUACCUUCUGAAGAACCGCGAUGUCAUUAAUUUGGUGUCGUGGGGAAUCAGGACUGUUACUUUGAAAAAAUUAGAGUGUUUAAAGCAGGCUUACGCUUGAAUACAUUAGCAUGGAAUAAUGAAAUAGGACGUUUGAUUCUAUUUUGUUGGUUUCUAGGAUCGACGUAAUGAUUAAUAGGGAUAGUUGGGGGCAUUAGUAUUCAAUUGUCAGAGGUGAAAUUCUUGGAUUUAUUGAAGACUAACUACUGCGAAAGCAUUUGCCAAGGAUGUUUUCAUUAAUCAAGAACGAAAGUUAGGGGAUCGAAGACGAUCAGAUACCGUCGUAGUCUUAACCAUAAACUAUGCCGACUAGGGAUCGGAUGAUGUUAAUUUUUUAAUGACUCAUUCGGCGCCUUACGGGAAAC
This 548-nucleotide ribosomal RNA is filed under the name uncultured Glomeromycotina. RNAcentral's name for it is "SSU rRNA". It matches the Rfam family "Eukaryotic small subunit ribosomal RNA", at positions 548 to 1098 of the family's 1831-position model. Lineage: Eukaryota; Fungi; Glomeromycota. The record is from RNAcentral.